This 1275-nucleotide long non-coding RNA is filed under the name Gallus gallus (chicken). RNAcentral describes it as "long non-coding RNA NONGGAT007967". Lineage: Eukaryota; Metazoa; Chordata; Aves; Galliformes; Phasianidae. The record is from RNAcentral.
CUGUAGGAGGCGCCAGAGAGGCACGAGGGCGCGGCGGCGUGCUGGGGAGGCGGGGUGAUGGCAGCUGCUUUGUGUGAUGGGAGUUGGGGCAGGCGGGUGGCGGUGGCUGCUGCCCGUGGAAAAAGGAGGGCCUUACACCGGUCCUUUAGCUCUGUGGAAGAAUAGUUCUCACAGGCUUGACGUCCCAGUGCCUUAUGAGAGUGCCAUUACAAUGAACAGAACUGCUUUUUUUUUUUUUUCCAUUUCCUGUUUCUCUAAAUAAACAAAGCUAGUUAGAUUGGAAUACAUUAUAACUUCUGCAGCGAGCUUCUCUGCUCGCUGAUAAGGUUGCUAAAGGCUAUGAUUUGCAUGGCAUUUCCGAGCUCCUCGUCAUUAGGACACGUUACCAACGUAACAAUUUGUCUGUCUGUCUCCCAGCAGCAGCGCAGAAGGUGCCUUAGGAACGCUGUGCCAUGGGGUGAGCAGCCUGCGUGGGCCGAACCUGUCACUCAACAGGGUGGCAGCGACUAAGGAUGUGGUCCCAUUACAUGGUUCUGCGCCAAGAACUUUGUGCACAGGGCCAACCAUAGAGGGAAACACUGAUAGCAAAAAGGCAGAAGUAUUUUUCAGCAUUGCAAGCCUCAGCCAACCUUCAGCCCAAAAAGCGUGACGUGGAACUGAGCGCCGUGCAGGACUGCAGAGCGCCGUGGAGAGACUCCGAAGAGCAGCAGCUCAAUGUGCAGAACACAGGCGGGAGGAAACAGGAAACCAUUCCCACAGCUGCAGCACUUGCUGUAUUCUGGUGGUAUUGCUUGGUUUCUGCAGUCCAGGUUCUCUAACCUCGUUCUAGUAAACAGUGAGGAAGGAGGAUAUAAGGGCUAUCUAUACCUGUGAUAUGACUUAGGCAGCUGUUGCAGGAGCUGAACAGAUUCCUAAAUAAGCCAUGUAGUAAGGACCACAACUGUAACUUGCCAAGGGCUGUAGGAAUGGGAGAACUUUGCCUGACUUUACAAGUGCUCUAGGAGACAUUUUGCCAAUCAUGAAUCAAAUUUCCCAUUGCCUUUUCUGUUUGCUUUUUCUUUGUUGUUUGGUUUUCCUUUCUAUGCCUUGUUGAGCUUUUUACAUUCCUAUUCUUAAUGGACUCCUGUGUACAAAAAGCAUAUUCCACUCCUUUCACCAGACCGUAGUAAACUCUGAGACAACUUUCCUUAUAAAUGCAAGAAAUAUUUCAUAUAUAUAUAUAUUUGUAUGUUAAAGCCAAUGUAGAGUAGCGAGAACAUAAAAAGUCUGACAGGA